RNAcentral lists this ribosomal RNA (876 nucleotides) under uncultured bacterium. Its description in RNAcentral is "bacterial SSU rRNA". It matches the Rfam family "Bacterial small subunit ribosomal RNA", at positions 8 to 853 of the family's 1533-position model. The record is from RNAcentral.
AGAGUUUGAUCCUGGCUCAGGACGAACGCUGGCGGCGUGCAGUAAUACAUGCAAGUCGUACGCUUCUUUUUCCACCGGAGCUUGCUCCACCGAAAAAAGAAGAGUGGCGAACGGGUGAGUAACACGUGGGUAACCUGCCCAUCAGAAGGGGAUAACACUUGGAAACAGGUGCUAAUACCGUAUAACAAUCGAAACCGCAUGGUUUUGAUUUGAAAGGCGCUUUCGGGUGUCGCUGAUGGAUGGACCCGCGGUGCAUUAGCUAGUUGGUGAGGUAACGGCUCACCAAGGCCACGAUGCAUAGCCGACCUGAGGGGGUGAUCGGCCACAUUGGGACUGAGACACGGCCCAAACUCCUACGGGAGGCAGCAGUAGGGAAUCUUCGGCAAUGGACGAAAGUCUGACCGAGCAACGCCGCGUGAGUGAAGAAGGUUUUCGGAUCGUAAAACUCUGUUGUUAGAGAAGAACAAGGAUGAGAGUAACUGUUCAUCCCUUGACGGUAUCUAACCAGAAAGCCACGGCUAACUACGUGCCAGCAGCCGCGGUAAUACGUAGGUGGCAAGCGUUGUCCGGAUUUAUUGGGCGUAAAGCGAGCGCAGGCGGUUUCUUAAGUCUGAUGUGAAAGCCCCCGGCUCAACCGGGGAGGGUCAUUGGAAACUGGGAGACUUGAGUGCAGAAGAGGAGAGUGGAAUUCCAUGUGUAGCGGUGAAAUGCGUAGAUAUAUGGAGGAACACCAGUGGCGAAGGCGGCUCUCUGGUCUGUAACUGACGCUGAGGCUCGAAAGCGUGGGGAGCAAACAGGAUUAGAUACCCUGGUAGUCCACGCCGUAAACGAUGAGUGCUAAGUGUUGGAGGGUUUCCGCCCUUCAGUGCUGCAGCU